Molecule: ribosomal RNA, 221 nt
Filed under: uncultured Pseudomonas sp.
Lineage: Bacteria; Pseudomonadati; Pseudomonadota; Gammaproteobacteria; Pseudomonadales; Pseudomonadaceae
Description: partial 16S ribosomal RNA
Rfam family: Bacterial small subunit ribosomal RNA
Source: RNAcentral
CCGGAGGAAGGUGGGGAUGACGUCAAGUCAUCAUGGCCCUUACGGCCUGGGCUACACACGUGCUACAAUGGUCGGUACAAAGGGUUGCCAAGCCGCGAGGUGGAGCUAAUACCCAUAAAACCGAUCGUAGUCCGGAUCGCAGUCUGCAACUCGACUGCGUGAAGUCGGAAUCGCUAGUAAUCGUGAAUCAGAAUGUCGACGGUGAAUACGUUCCCGGCCUU